AUUGAACGCUGGCGGCAUGCCUUACACAUGCAAGUCGAACGGCAGCGGACCUUCGGGUGCCGGCGAGUGGCGAACGGGUGAGUAAUAUAUCGGAACGUACCUUUCAGUGGGGGAUAACGUAGCGAAAGUUACGCUAAUACCGCAUAUUCUGUGAGCAGGAAAGCAGGGGAUCGCAAGACCUUGCGCUGAUUGAGCGGCCGAUAUCAGAUUAGCUAGUUGGUGAGGUAAAGGCUCACCAAGGCGACGAUCUGUAGCGGGUCUGAGAGGAUGAUCCGCCACACUGGAACUGAGACACGGUCCAGACUCCUACGGGAGCAGCAGUGGGGAAUUUUGGACAAUGGGCGCAAGCCUGAUCCAGCCAUGCCGCGUGAGUGAAGAAGGCCUGGUGUAAG
RNAcentral lists this ribosomal RNA (392 nucleotides) under uncultured bacterium. RNAcentral's name for it is "bacterial SSU rRNA". It matches the Rfam family "Bacterial small subunit ribosomal RNA", at positions 30 to 429 of the family's 1533-position model. The record is from RNAcentral.